This 454-nucleotide ribosomal RNA is filed under the name uncultured Geobacillus sp. Its description in RNAcentral is "bacterial SSU rRNA". It matches the Rfam family "Bacterial small subunit ribosomal RNA", at positions 929 to 1382 of the family's 1533-position model. The record is from RNAcentral. Lineage: Bacteria; Bacillati; Bacillota; Bacilli; Caryophanales; Anoxybacillaceae.
GCGGUGGAGCAUGUGGUUUAAUUCGAAGCAACGCGAAGAACCUUACCAGGUCUUGACAUCCCCUGACAACCCGAGAGAUCGGGCGUUCCCCUUCGGGGGACAGGGUGACAGGUGGUGCAUGGUUGUCGUCAGCUCGUGUCGUGAGAUGUUGGGUUAAGUCCCGCAACGAGCGCAACCCUCGCCUCUAGUUGCCAGCAUUCGGUUGGGCACUCUAGAGGGACUGCCGGCGACAAGUCGGAGGAAGGUGGGGAUGACGUCAAAUCAUCAUGCCCCUUAUGACCUGGGCUACACACGUGCUACAAUGGGCGGUACAAAGGGCUGCGAACCCGCGAGGGGGAGCGAAUCCCAAAAAGCCGCUCUCAGUUCGGAUUGCAGGCUGCAACUCGCCUGCAUGAAGCCGGAAUCGCUAGUAAUCGCGGAUCAGCAUGCCGCGGUGAAUACGUUCCCGGGCCUU